RNAcentral lists this ribosomal RNA (378 nucleotides) under uncultured bacterium. Its description in RNAcentral is "partial 16S ribosomal RNA". It matches the Rfam family "Bacterial small subunit ribosomal RNA", at positions 527 to 903 of the family's 1533-position model. The record is from RNAcentral.
GNAGGAGGCAAGCGUNAUCCGGAANGACUGGGCGUAAAGGGUGCGUAGGUGGUCCAGCAAGNNGGCAGCGUAACNCCGGGGCUCAACCUCGGCACNACUGCCAAAACNGUCGAACUUGAGUGCAGGAGGGGCAAUCGGAAUNCCUAGUGUAGCGGUGGAAUGCGUAGAUAUUAGGAGGAACACCAGUGGCGAAGGCGGAUUGCUGGACUGUAACUGACACUGAGGCACGAAAGCGUGGGGAGCAAACAGGAUUAGAUACCCUGGUAGUCCACGCUGUAAACGAUGAAUACUAGGUGUAGGGGGUAUCGACUCCCUCUGUGCCGCCGCUAACGCAUUAAGUAUUCCGCCUGGGGACUACGGCCGCAAGGUUGAAACUCA